RNAcentral lists this ribosomal RNA (547 nucleotides) under uncultured bacterium. RNAcentral's name for it is "bacterial SSU rRNA". It matches the Rfam family "Bacterial small subunit ribosomal RNA", at positions 355 to 896 of the family's 1533-position model. The record is from RNAcentral.
UGGGGAAUAUUGCGCAAUGGGGGGAACCCUGACGCAGCCAUGCCGCGUGAAUGAAGAAGGCCUUAGGGUUGUAAAGUUCUUUCGGUAUUGAGGAAGGUUGAUGUGUUAAUAGCACAUCAAAUUGACGUUAAAUACAGAAGAAGCACCGGCUAACUCCGUGCCAGCAGCCGCGGUAAUACGGAGGGUGCGAGCGUUAAUCGGAAUAACUGGGCGUAAAGGGCACGCAGGCGGUUAUUUAAGUGAGGUGUGAAAGCCCUGGGCUUAACCUAGGAAUUGCAUUUCAGACUGGGUAACUAGAGUACUUUAGGGAGGGGUAGAAUUCCACGUGUAGCGGUGAAAUGCGUAGAGAUGUGGAGGAAUACCGAAGGCGAAGGCAGCCCCUUGGGGAUGUACUGACGCUCAUGUGCGAAAGCGUGGGGAGCAAACAGGAUUAGAUACCCUGGUAGUCCACGCUGUAAACGCUGUCGAUUUGGGGGUUGGGGUUUAACUCUGGCGCCCGUAGCUAACGUGAUAAAUCGACCGCCUGGGGAGUACGGCCGCAAGGUUA